This 1306-nucleotide long non-coding RNA is filed under the name Vulpes vulpes (red fox). RNAcentral describes it as "lncRNA (ENSVVUG00000025216.1)". The record is from RNAcentral. Lineage: Eukaryota; Metazoa; Chordata; Mammalia; Carnivora; Canidae.
UCUUUCCACUGGCCCCAUUCUCUUACAAGCUGAGCUGGGAGUGACGUGGGCUUGGGAGGCAGAGGAGCAGAUUUGUUCACUCAACAUUUACCCAAGACUUGCCAAGGCAGACGGCAGCGCAGAGGCGCCCAGGGACGGGGGCCUCCCUUGCUCUACGUUCCCAAGCUGCGUUCCUAGCUCUGUUGCAUCCAGGGGCAGCACCUGCAGCACCUCGGUGACGCUCUCUCCCUCUUGCCUUCACAUCUCAUUUCAUCCCCGUCUCCUCUCCCAGGGGCCACACUCUCGCUCGCUCACGGAUCCCAAGCCCUGAGCCCUCUCGAGCUCCUGGCCGCCACCAUCAGAGGCCCUGGGCAUUUGUUUUCCCGCCGCACAGGACUGCACACUGAUACAUUUGUACCGCAGGAAGCAGAAAACUAGUUUAACAUCUCAUUUAUUUCAUAGAUGAGAAAGUAAUUCCCUGCUGAAUGAUUGUCCCGAACCAACAAUUCAGAGAGGAGGAAUUUACAGUGCUGCCAAGGACCGGGGUGCAUUACUGUAGCGCCGUUAUAUAACGGAGCUGGGACCUUUUUUUCCUCUCCUGUUAGCCUGAAGAGAAAAGCCAUUAAAUAUGAUUAAGGUUAAGAGAUUGCUAAAAUUACAAACAGCCGCCAUUCAAUUAUUUUGCUCUAUAAAAUGCAACACAGAUUGGAGUUAUUUCUCUGAAAUGUGUUUUUAGAAAAUAACAUAACACAGCUAACUAAUGUGGUUUGAUCUAGCAAAUCAGGUUCCAGAUACCACUUCUAAUGCAAAGCUAAAAGGUUCAUAAUUUAACUCAAAGUUGGUAACUUAAAGUCGUCAGGUGCUUACUUUAUAGAAAAGCUUUAUAAAGAGAAAAAAAUCAAUACCAUGCCAACUAAUAUUCUGAAGUCAUCUACAGCCAGAGAUUCAAUCAAUUUUAUCACCCAUUAAAGGGAUAGACACAAAAAAUAUUAAAAAAAAAAAAAAAAGAUUCUUAAAGAACCAGCAACAACUUGGCCUAACAGGUCCGUAGUUGAGGAUGGCGGGGGGUCUGGGGGGCAAAUCUCUCUAAUAUUUUGUCAGAUUUCACAGGGCCCACAUUGGGUCCUGAGGGCGUUUGUUCUCAGCCAAGGCAGCUGGGAAAUGGAAAAGAAACUCCUCCCAAUCUAUUCAAUCCAUAUGGCUCCAGAGACCAUUCCCGGUGGCAGAGAGAAGUCCGGGAGGACAGCCUCUCGCUGCCGCUGGACUUAUGGUUCACACAGCAGAUGACUUACUCUUGGCUUAAAAAGAAUAAAAAGCUCAACUGCAC